This 207-nucleotide ribosomal RNA is filed under the name uncultured bacterium. RNAcentral's name for it is "partial 16S ribosomal RNA". It matches the Rfam family "Bacterial small subunit ribosomal RNA", at positions 1294 to 1500 of the family's 1533-position model. The record is from RNAcentral.
CGGAUUGUAGUCUGCAACCCGACUACAUGAAGCUGGAAUCGCUAGUAAUCGCGGAUCAGAAUGCCGCGGUGAAUACGCUCCCGGGUCUUGUACACACCGCCCGUCACACCAUGGGAGUCGGAAAUGCCCGAAGUCUGUGACCCAACCUUAGGGAGGGAGCAGCCGAAGGCAGGUCGGAUGACUGGGGUGAAGUCGUAACAAGGUAUC